Molecule: ribosomal RNA, 301 nt
Filed under: uncultured bacterium
Lineage: Bacteria
Description: partial 16S ribosomal RNA
Rfam family: Bacterial small subunit ribosomal RNA
Source: RNAcentral
CAGUCGCCACGGGAAUACGUAGGGCGCAAGCGUUAUCCGGAAUUAUUGGGCGUAAAGAGCUCGUAGGCGGUUUGUCGCGUCUGCCGUGAAAGUCCGGGGCUCAACCCCGGAUCUGCGGUGGGUACGGGCAGACUAGAGUGAUGUAGGGGAGACUGGAAUUCCUGGUGUAGCGGUGAAAUGCGCAGAUAUCAGGAGGAACACCGAUGGCGAAGGCAGGUCUCUGGGCAUUAACUGACGCUGAGGAGCGAAAGCAUGGGGAGCGAACAGGAUUAGAUACCCCGGUAGUCCCUGUCUCUUAUAC